ACAUAACAAAAUCUUCUUCACCCCAAAUCAUCCCGUUGCUCCUUCAAACUCCGGUCCGAGCAAUGUCAUGGUACCGAAGAAACCAAACCUCGAUUACAAAAGCCAAUCGAAGAGUUCAUCUGAGAUCUUCUUCCUCCAUUUUUUUCCUCGCACAGUUUCAGUGACCGAUGGAUCAAACUUUCAGAUUAUUUGGGAUAAAGUUGGAGAAACAGAAAUUGAUAGGGAUUGCUUGAGCUUGAGCGUGAAUGUUUUGGAAGUAUAUAGCACAAAAGUUGACCAAGCUAAGGCAAGCAAUAGCUGAUGUUGAAUCAUGGGGGAACGUCUUGUGCAUAUUAGCAGUCUGAUCAAAGCGUUGGGAGCUUGGGACGAUUCUUCUGAACUGGAAUAGAUGCAAAAGAGGUAAAUUGAUAGAAGGAACCAGUUCACUGUUGUCCUGGAGGAAGCAAAUAGUAUUGCUAAUGAUAUCAAAGGUGAAGGAGAACAUGUUCAGUCUAAGCCACUUCUCGAUGAUACUGACUUGUCUAUGAGAAAGCUUGAAGACCAGCUGCAAGCACUUGAGAAGGAAAAGAGUGAUCGUGUGGAGACGAUUCGGAAGCACUUGUUUACUUUUGUAUUCGAUAGCAGGAAGAUUGAUUUUCAGUUUCUUGCUAACAUUCUGAAGUUGCUACCGUGAUCGUGCAUGAGGUACAAAACCUUUAAUCCUCUCGACAUGUGGAAUCUGACAUGUUGGUACUGUGCUGUUUGAUCAUUUUCUGGUAGUAGAUUCUGAAGUUGCUACUGUCAUCUGACAUGAGGUACGUAGUCGUACACAACCUCUAAUCUUCUGGAUGUAUCAAAAAUAAGAAAAAUGGCGUUUGAUAGUUUCCAUUUCGAAAAUGUACUAUGUUAAUGUAGAGGCUGCUCGUUAAUCCGAAAUUGAUUAAGGCAGUUGCUGGGGUUGAAUUCUUACUUUUAGUGCUUUUAUUCGAUCCUGCUUUUACUUUAUUUUUUUGGCUCUUUGGAGGGGUUCCGUCUCUGGUUUCACUGAAGCAGUUUCUCAAAUACCUCUUGUUCUUCUCAGUGGCAGCUUUUUCCUAAGCAUAUACGGCAUUUAGAUCCUAGUUUCCGUCUAUUCCCAUCGUAUAGCCAGAUUCUCUCUUUCUCUCUGAUUGCUUGCUAAGUCUCAUUGAGUUUAUGUGCUUAAAACGCCUUGUGCCCAGAUUUGUUUGAUAGAAACUGGUAUAAUUUAUCGGUUUGUGUUAGAAUCGUAGAUGUUUUCUCUCCAUUAAAGAUUGUAUAAUUCCCAUUAAUCCCUAGAUUUAUACCUGACAUUGUUCUCCGUGUGUAUCAAUAGUUACCUGGGACUAGUGGUCGUUGCUGACUUAUUGAAUAGAUUUCAUUCUAUUAAAAUAUUAUUGUUAGACCAAAACUUAUGAUGACUUUAUUAUGCCUUUAUUAUUCAUUAGACUACAUUGUAUUUUACCAUGUUCGCGAGGAAGAUUUUGUUGUAGGAUGUUAUAACUUAACUCAUUUAUAUAUACAUCUAAGCGUAUUCCGUCUCUCUGUGUAAAGUCUUUACAAGAUCUUGUUUGUAUCGUUUUGUACAUUAGUUUAUAAAGUUGGAGAAACAGAUACUGAUAGGGAUGAUACGAUGUUGCUUGAGCUUGAGCGUGAAUGUUUUGGAAGUAUAAAGAAGAAAAGUUGA
Non-coding RNA from Camelina sativa (false flax), 1684 nucleotides. NCBI's taxonomy places the organism in Eukaryota, Viridiplantae, Streptophyta, Magnoliopsida, Brassicales, Brassicaceae. The record is from RefSeq and is a predicted model, not a curated record.